This 433-nucleotide ribosomal RNA is filed under the name uncultured bacterium. Its description in RNAcentral is "partial 16S ribosomal RNA". It matches the Rfam family "Bacterial small subunit ribosomal RNA", at positions 29 to 507 of the family's 1533-position model. The record is from RNAcentral.
AACGAACGCUGGCGGCAUGCCUAACACAUGCAAGUCGAACGAGACCUUCGGGUCUAGUGGCGCACGGGUGCGUAACGCGUGGGAACCUGCCCUUAGGUUCGGAAUAACUCCCCGAAAGGGGUGCUAAUACCGGAUAAUGUCUUCGGACCAAAGAUUGAUCGUCCUUGGAUGGGCCCGCGUUGGAUUAGCUAGUGGGUAGGGUAAAAGCCUACCAAGGCGACGAUCCAUAGCUGGUCUGAGAGGAUGAUCCGCCACACUGGGACUGAGACACGGCCCAGACUCCUACGGGAGGCAGCAGUGGGGAAUAUUGGACAAUGGGCGAAAGCCUGAUCCAGCAAUGCCGCGUGAGUGAUGAAGGCCUUAGGGUUGUAAAGCUCUUUUACCCGGGAUGAUAAUGACAGUACCGGGAGAAUAAGCUCCGGCUAACUCCGUG